GACGAAGGGGGCUAGCGUUGUUCGGAAUUACUGGGCGUAAAGCGUGUGUAGGUGGUUGUCCAAGUUGGAUGUGAAAGCCUUGAGCUCAACUCAAGAAAUGCACUCAGGACUGGGCGACUAGAGGACCGGAGAGGAUAGUGGAAUUCCCAGUGUAGUGGUGAAAUACGUAGAGAUUGGGAAGAACACCAGUGGCGAAGGCGGCUAUCUGGACGGUUUCUGACACUAAGACACGAAAGCGUGGGGAGCAAACAGG
RNAcentral lists this ribosomal RNA (253 nucleotides) under uncultured bacterium. RNAcentral's name for it is "partial 16S ribosomal RNA". It matches the Rfam family "Bacterial small subunit ribosomal RNA", at positions 524 to 776 of the family's 1533-position model. The record is from RNAcentral.